Molecule: ribosomal RNA, 106 nt
Filed under: uncultured bacterium
Lineage: Bacteria
Description: partial 16S ribosomal RNA
Rfam family: Bacterial small subunit ribosomal RNA
Source: RNAcentral
CCUUGUACACACCGCCCGUCACACCAUGGGAGUCAGUUGCUCCAGAAGUGGCUUACCUAACCCGCAAGGGAGGGUGGUCCCCAAGGAGUGGCUGGUAACUGGGGUG